Molecule: long non-coding RNA, 3874 nt
Organism: Artibeus jamaicensis (Jamaican fruit-eating bat)
Lineage: Eukaryota; Metazoa; Chordata; Mammalia; Chiroptera; Phyllostomidae
Exons: 4
Source: RefSeq, a predicted model, not a curated record
ACAGUGCUGUGCCCCUGCCCCUCCUCCGAGUUAAAGUCCGUGGCUGACACCCGCCCUCUGCUCCCUCCAUGCCAAACCCUGGGCCUUGCAGACCACACAGUGCAGAGCCAGAUGGCUGCCUGGUGGCUGCCAGGCGGAGAAGUCACCACUUGUUACAGGGGCAUCUGUGGCCAGGAGUCAGGUGGGGAGUUCCUAAUGUCUCUGGCAGACGUGGAGGGCCCCUCCGGUGGGAUUCCCGCCCUCCCUGGAUGCAUUCAGACUGUGCCAUUUGAUCACUGGAUUUGCAAUUCCAGAAGCAAAAUAACGAGCCAGAAUUGUAUGAAAAUGUCACUCUGCCCUGAUGAUCAGUACCUAGCACUGGGGAGAGAAGUCAAACUCCAGAAGGCAAAGUGGAUUUUUGUUUAAAGGAACAUUUUCAAAGUUAAUAUGAAAACACACAAGUAUAAAAUUAAACGACGACAACCACCCCAGUGGGAAUCUGUGUGUAAUGUGCCAGCGUGCUCGGAGGUGAGCCGUUCAGUCCCCGCCCCUCCCUGAGGCCCCGGACAACCAAGGCAUUGUGUGCGACUACAGGCUGCCCUGAGAGACCCUCCCCGAACAGGAUCUCAGUCCUGGGCGAAGGCGGGACGGCCGCCCCCUCCAGCUCUUCCCCUCCGUUCCUUGCCAGUGUUCCUGACCUGCCCAUUCCCUUCCCUCUAGCUUCUAGUUAAGGGCUGGUAAUUUGUUUUCUCUAAAGGCCAUGCCUUAUCUGUUCAGCUGCUAUGACAGCCUUUGGGCUGGGGCAUUGGCUUUUUUCCUGCUCUUGGAUUUAAACUAAUGUGCAGAUUCUUUCUGUGUCACACACAAGUCUGCUGGACCUGAGACUGAAAUAGGCUGUCAGCUCCCCCGGUCUCCGGGUUGCCGACUCACAGGCAGGUCUCGGAUCCUGCCUGCCUUCAUAAACACACCAGCCUCUUUUUGGUGAUACAUUCCUCAAGGGCGGAGACCGAAUUGUCUUGGUUGACGCUGUGGCACGAGGAUGUCCAUGGGCGGAUGAAUGGUUCCGUGGGCCCGUGCGCCCGGGGCUGGCAUUAUAUGGGAAGUGACCACGUCUUGCAGAAGACGGCAGACUUGCCAGGGUGAGAGACUUCCUAUGAAGCCACGUUGUCCUUGGGCACUGGAGGCUGGCCGGUGCCGGACGAAAUGGAGCCGAGCUCGCUGACUGGCUUUCCCACAGACGAGGCGCAGCCGUGGUUCCGAGGGCCUUGCACUGUCCUCCUUCCAUGUCUUCUGCCUCCUGCCUCCAUUCUUCCUCCCGCACACGGACUGAGCCGGUCUCCAUCAGGGGUUUCGAGUAGAAUAUUUCACUCUCCUAUUGAGUUCCAAAUUUUAUUUACAAGUCUCCAAAGGACAUGACAUGAAAUCAACUGAAGAAAGGGGUUCCAAAAUAAUGGUAAACUUUGGUAACCUAGGAGGCUGUUCAUUAACAGAUUAGUUAACAAACAUGUUUUGUGAGUCUUCUUUGAGACCUGUGUUAUAGUAAAUGACUGAGUUACAAAAGUAUAGCAUUAUCUCUUUGUUCCCUAUGUAAUUAAUUUUUAUUAAUUACAUGUCAUAUGAAAUGCAGAAGAUGGUGCUGGACCUGGAAAGUCUGACAAGCUAGAGCGGAGAGUAUGGGGAAGGAAGGAAAGGAGGACGUCAGCAGGAAACUUGCUGUUUUCUGGUUUGAGGUACUGAGUGCCCACAAUGAGACAUGAACUAAGAUUCAUUGAGCUCAUUCCUGCUUAGCUUUAUUUUUUUUUAAGAUUUAAAAAAUUUAUUUAUCUUUAGAGGGGAAGGGAAGGAAAGAGGGAGAGAGAAAUAUCAAUAUAUGGUUGCCUCUCGUGGGUCCCUUGCUGGGAACUGGCCUGCAACUCAGGCAUGUGCCCUGACUGGGAAUCGAACCGCAAUGCUUUGGUUGGCAGGCCCGAGCUCAAUCCACCAAGCUACACCAGCCAGGGCCCUGCUUAGCUUUCUUUUGUGUGGCUGCCUGGAAUGCUAUUCCCCCAAAUAUCUUCAUGUCCAACUCUCUUACCUUCUUUAAGAUUUUCUGCAAAUGUCACUUUCUCAACAUGGUCUCCUUAUCUGCUAUGUUCCGAAUUUUGUGUCUCCCCCCAAAUCCACAUUUGAAGCCCUUACUUCCAAAGUGAUGGUAUGUGGAGAUGGCCCUGUUGGGAGGUGAUCAGGUCAUGAGGGUGGAGCCCUCAUGAAUGGGAUUAGUGCCCCUGUACAAAGACUCCAGAGAGCUCGCUAGCCUCUUCCACUAUGUAAGGACUUGGUGAGAAGACUGUCAUGAAUGAACCAAGAUGUGUGCUCUCACCGAACACUGAAUCUUCUGGCACCCUGAUCUCAGAUUUCCAGCCUCUGAAACUGAGAAAUAAAUGGCUGUUGUUUAUAAGCCACCCAAUUGAUGGUAUUCUGUUAUAUCCCCCUGGAAUGGACUGACACUCACCAUGCUAUUUACAAUUGCGCACCUCACUUCGGCCACAUUCUUCACCAUGUACUAAGUUCCCUUUAUCCCUUCCAACUUUUUCUUCUUUUUACUGCCCUUGUCAUCUUCCAAACACACAUUUACUUUGUACCUCAGUUAUGUUUUUUGCCCCUGUUAUGAAUGUACACUUAAUAAGGAUAUAUAUUCACUGUUUUCUUCACUGAUGCAUUUUACAUGCCCAGAUAAGUGCUUGCAUAUGUUAGCUACUCAUUAACAGGUGCUGAACAAACCCAUGAUAUGGUCACAUAUUUUUAGUGAAUCUACUUUUGUCUAUCUUUAGAAGCAUCAUUACAUUGAAAUCAGUAAAUAAUUUACUUAUGGACAUCUGUUAGUUGGUGCUUGUUCCUUUUGUUUCCUGGUUUUUAAGUAGCUAAGAGAGAAUCAUUGGGGUGGUAAUUUUAUUGCCAAUGGAAAUACUAAAUUUGCAUCCAAGUGUCAGGUGUCUACUCUCUCUGGAUGUUCUGGUUCACACUUCAGGUGCUAAAGACAAGAAAUCAGUGGGAGAAGCAGGAGUCAGGAUGGGAUUCAAAUGCUGAACUUUAGGUGAGUGAAGGCUAUAGGAAGCCCCAUGGGCAGAGACACAGAGUCGGUGAGAAGAUUUGCCAAUGGGUCAUGGGGAACUAAGGUGAAAUAGGAGGGAGGGGCUGGAUGCUGUAAACCUGGAAAGCUGGGCAGGGGAGUUUUGGUGUUCUGUGCAGAGACAGCGGUGUGGCCAGGUGAAAGCUUGUUUUAGAAGAGUCUAGUGGCUGCUAUACAUCGGCUGGGCUGCAAAAUGGAGUCAGACAAAGAGAAACCUUCUGCAAAGUUGUUACCCACAUGCAAGUGAAAGACUGAACAAGGUGAGAGUAAAGGGUUAUCUGAGAGAUUUUCAGAGAAACAACAAAAUUUUUCCCAAUUUUUAUUAUGAAAAUUUUCAAACAUACAGAAAUUUGUGAAGAAUGGAAUAUUGCUAUAACUAUAUACAUUUGUAUGUAUUUGUGUGUGCAUAUAUGUGUGUGUGUGUGUGUGUGUGUGUGUGUGUGUGUAUAUAUAAUGGCCUAGAUUCAACAACUAAGACAACAGAACUCUAAUUGGGUUUUAUUUCAUUUACUAAGCUUCUAUAAGUGGCAGGGUACAAUAGGUUCAUUAUCUAAAUAGAAUCAUAUUUUUCCAAUUAGACCUCAGAAUCAACAUGUGAUCAUAUUUUCUCAUUAUAAUUUCAGUACAGUCAAAAUACCAAUACCAUUUUUAGUAUACUUACUCCUUGAAUAAGAACCUCCAUGUGAAGUCACAAUUCAUUAACUUAAUGAGGAAGGCGGCGUAACGCUGUUUGGCUCCAUGCAUCUGUGACUGUGAUCUUUGCCAGCAAAAUAUUUUUUAAAUGUU